This 254-nucleotide ribosomal RNA is filed under the name uncultured bacterium. RNAcentral describes it as "partial 16S ribosomal RNA". It matches the Rfam family "Bacterial small subunit ribosomal RNA", at positions 524 to 776 of the family's 1533-position model. The record is from RNAcentral.
UACGUAGGGGUCUAGCGUUGUCCGGAAUUAUUGGGCGUAAAGAGCUCGUAGGCGGUUCGGUAAGUCGGGUGUGAAAACUUUGGACUCAACCCAAAGCCUGCACUCGAUACUGCUGUGACUUGAGUCCGGUAGGGGAGUGGGGAAUUCCUGGUGUAGCGGUGGAAUGCGCAGAUAUCAGGAGGAACACCGGUGGCGAAGGCGCCAUCCUGGACCGGCAUUGACGCUGAGGAGCGAAAGCCAGGGGAGCAAACAGG